UGAAGGCUGAAAUUCGCCUUCAUGAAGCUGGAAUUGCUAGUAAUGGCAGGUCAGCAUACUGCCGUGAAUACGUUCCCGGGCCUUGUACACACCGCCCGUCACACCAUGAGAGUUGGGAAUACCCGAAGCCUGUGAGCUAACUUUUAGAGGCAGCAGUCGAAGGUAGAAUCAAUGAUUGGGGUGAAGUCGUAACAAGGUAUC
This 201-nucleotide ribosomal RNA is filed under the name uncultured bacterium. Its description in RNAcentral is "partial 16S ribosomal RNA". It matches the Rfam family "Bacterial small subunit ribosomal RNA", at positions 1299 to 1500 of the family's 1533-position model. The record is from RNAcentral.